ACUCAAAGGAAUAGACGGGGGCCCGCACAAGCGGUGGAGCAUGUGGUUUAAUUCGACGCAACGCGAAGAACCUUACCUGGGCUCGAACGGCUGCUGACACUCCCUGGAAACAGGGGGCUUCCCGCAAGGGACAGUAGUCGAGGUGCUGCAUGGCUGUCGUCAGCUCGUGUCGUGAGAUGUUGGGUUAAGUCCCGCAACGAGCGCAACCCUUGUCCUGUGUUGCAACCCGAAAGGGGCACUCUCAGGAGACCGCCAGCGAUAAGUUGGAGGAAGGUGGGGAUGACGUCAAGUCAUCAUGGCCUUUAUGUCCAGGGCUACACACGUGCUACAAUGGACGGUACAAACCGUUGCUAACCCGCGAGGGGGAGCUAAUCGGAGAAAACCGUUCUCAGUUCGGAUUGCAGGCUGCAACCCGCCUGCAUGAAGCUGGAAUCGCUAGUAAUGGCAUAUCAGAACGAUGCCGUGAAUACGUUCCCGGGCCUUGUACACACCGCCCGU
RNAcentral lists this ribosomal RNA (498 nucleotides) under uncultured bacterium. RNAcentral describes it as "partial 16S ribosomal RNA". It matches the Rfam family "Bacterial small subunit ribosomal RNA", at positions 899 to 1397 of the family's 1533-position model. The record is from RNAcentral.